UGAUGAUGGAAAUAGCCAUGGCUCACACAUUCAGCCAAAACAGGAACCUUGAAAUAUUAACGGCAGACCCUCAGAAUUACAGACUUUAAUUUUUUAAUUAGUCACUUCUCAUGUGAGAAAUAACUAGGAUCUAGCAUGCUCCAGGGUGAACAGCAACAGGAAUUUACAUAAAGGUGACUAAUAAUUUUCCAAGGAAAACUGGAUAACAGUUUGUGGAUAAAAAGUGCAAUGAGAAGGCAUACAGGCCAAGGGACAAUGUUCAUCUGUCCAAUGGGACAUCAACAUGCUUCCCUGGAUGGACCCUCUAAGUUUGUGUCUGCCAGGCGACAAGCAGACGAGCUUCUUAUCGUCACAGCCAGGCACCUGGGAUAACCUGCCCUAAAUCUGUAACUCCUGGGAACACAUACAGACUCACUUAGGGUCCAGAAGACAGACAUAGGAGAAGACUGGAAUCCUCAUGUUGUGUGGGAGUUGCUGCCAAGAGAUCUGGGUCUGCUUAGCCUGGAAGAAUAUUCCUAGGACAAUGAGAAGGAGGGGAUACAAGUCCUGACUGAGAUACCAAGUUGUCUGGAUUCCUUCUGGUCCCUGAUGUGGAGCAUCUGGUUGAUUUUGCUCUUUGGACUGGAAACUGUUGAGGCAGCGUGGCUGGAACUAGGAAUACAGAGACUCAAAUACAGUCAUUGACCUCAAGGAACUCACAUUCUCGUGGAGCGGAAGACAAGCACACAGAUAUAUAUGAAUCUGUG
Globicephala melas (long-finned pilot whale) is the source of this 746-nucleotide long non-coding RNA. RefSeq lists it as uncharacterized. The record is from RefSeq and is a predicted model, not a curated record. Lineage: Eukaryota; Metazoa; Chordata; Mammalia; Artiodactyla; Delphinidae.